RNAcentral lists this ribosomal RNA (818 nucleotides) under uncultured bacterium. RNAcentral describes it as "bacterial SSU rRNA". It matches the Rfam family "Bacterial small subunit ribosomal RNA", at positions 8 to 796 of the family's 1533-position model. The record is from RNAcentral.
AGAGUUUGAUCAUGGCUCAGGACGAACGCUGGCGGCGUGCUUAACACAUGCAAGUCGAACGGAGCGAAAUGGAAGCUUGCUUCUAUGGAGCUUAGUGGCGAACGGGUGAGUAACGCGUAAUCAACCUGCCCUUCAGAGGGGGACAACAGUUGGAAACGACUGCUAAUACCGCAUACGAUUCAACUUCGGCAUCGAGGAUGAAUGAAAGGUGGCCUCUAUUUAUAAGCUAUCGCUGAAGGAGGGGAUUGCGUCUGAUUAGCUAGUUGGAGGGGUAACGGCCCACCAAGGCGAUGAUCAGUAGCCGGUCUGAGAGGAUGAACGGCCACAUUGGGACUGAGACACGGCCCAGACUCCUACGGGAGGCAGCAGUGGGGAAUCUUCCGCAAUGGACGAAAGUCUGACGGAGCAACGCCGCGUGAGUGAUGACGGCCUUCGGGUUGUAAAGCUCUGUUAAUCGGGACGAAAGGUUCUCUUGUGAAUAAUUAGAGGAAUUGACGGUACCGGAAUAGAAAGCCACGGCUAACUACGUGCCAGCAGCCGCGGUAAUACGUAGGUGGCAAGCGUUGUCCGGAAUUAUUGGGCGUAAAGCGCGCGCAGGCGGAUUAGUCAGUCUGUCUUAAAAGUUCGGGGCUUAACCCCGUGAUGGGAUGGAAACUGCUAAUCUAGAGUAUCGGAGAGGAAAGUGGAAUUCCUAGUGUAGCGGUGAAAUGCGUAGAUAUUAGGAAGAACACCAGUGGCGAAGGCGACUUUCUGGACGAAAACUGACGCUGAGGCGCGAAAGCCAGGGGAGCGAACGGGAUUAGAUACCCUGGUAGUCC